AGCAGCCGCGGUAAUUCCAGCUCCAAUAGCGUAUAUUAAAGUUGUUGCAGUUAAAAAGCUCGUAGUUGAAUUUCGGGGUUAGUAAGUUGGUCAUGCCAUUGGUAUGCACUGGCUUUACUGAUUCCUCCUUCUUGACGAACCGUGAUGUCAUUAAUUUGAUGUUGCGGGAAAUCAGGACUGUUACUUUGAAAAAAUUAGAGUGUUUAAAGCAGGCUAACGCUUGAAUACAUUAGCAUGGAAUAAUGAAAUAGGACGUUAAUCCUAUUUUGUUGGUUUCUAGGGUUGACGUAAUGAUUAAUAGGGAUAGUUGGGGGCAUUAGUAUUCAAUUGUCAGAGGUGAAAUUCUUGGAUUUAUUGAAGACUAACUACUGCGAAAGCAUUUGCCAAGGAUGUUUUCAUUAAUCAAGAACGAAAGUUAGGGGAUCGAAGACGAUCAGAUACCGUCGUAGUCUUAACCAUAAACUAUGCCGACUAGGGAUCGGAUGAUGUUAAUUCUUUAAUGACUCA
Molecule: ribosomal RNA, 507 nt
Filed under: uncultured Glomus
Lineage: Eukaryota; Fungi; Glomeromycota; Glomeromycetes; Glomerales; Glomeraceae
Description: SSU rRNA
Rfam family: Eukaryotic small subunit ribosomal RNA
Source: RNAcentral